RNAcentral lists this ribosomal RNA (1356 nucleotides) under uncultured marine eukaryote. RNAcentral's name for it is "SSU rRNA". It matches the Rfam family "Eukaryotic small subunit ribosomal RNA", at positions 411 to 1779 of the family's 1831-position model. The record is from RNAcentral.
CACUUCUAAGGAAGGCAGCAGGCGCGCAAAUUACCCAAUCCUGACUCAGGGAGGUAGUGACAAGAAAUAACAAUAAACCGGCUUAUGCCGGUUUAAUUGGAAUGAGUACAAUUUAAACAUCUUAACGAGGAACAAUUGGAGGGCAAGUCUGGUGCCAGCAGCCGCGGUAAUUCCAGCUCCAAUAGCGUAUACUAAAGUUGUUGCAGUUAAAAAGCUCGUAGUUGGAUUUCUGUGGGGACGGAGCGGCCGGCCGCAACACGCGGUUCGAGCUAGCGCUUUCCCUACAUCCUGCCGCGAACCGUGCUACCAUUAAUUUGGUGGCGCCGGGGAUCGGCUCGAUUACUUUGAGAAAAAUAGAGUGUUCAAAGCAGGCCACAUGCCUUGAAUAAGUUAGCAUGGAAUAAUAACUAAGGACUUCGGUUCUAUUUUGUUGGUGUUCGGGACUGAAGUAAUGAUUGAUAGGGACAGUUGGGGCGGUCUGUAUUCCAAAGCGAGAGGUGAAAUUCUUAGACCUUCGGAAGACAAACAGCUGCGAAAGCGUUCCGCAAGGAUGUUCCCUUUGAUCAAGAACGAAAGUUGGGGGAUCGAAGACGAUCAGAUACCGUCGUAGUCUCAACUAUAAACUAUACCAGCUAGGGAUCGGCCAACGUUAUUUUAUACCGACUUGGUCGGCACCUUAUGAGAAAUCAAAGCAUCUGGGUUCCGGGGGGAGUAUGGUCGCAAGGCUGAAACUUAAAGGAAUUGACGGAAGGGCACCACCAGCCGUGGAGCCUGUGGCUUAAUUUGACUCAACACGGGAAAACUUACCAGGUCCAGACAUAGUAAGGAUUGACAGAUUGAUAGCUCUUUCUUGAUUCUGUGGGUGGUGGUGCAUGGCCGUUCUUAGUUGGUGGAGUGAUUUGUCUGGUUAAUUCCGUUAACGAACGAGACCCCAGCCUGCUAAAUAGCGCGCGUGAGCUUUGCUCGCGGCGAGCUUCUUAGAGGGACUAUGAUGCGCGAUAGCACAUGGAAGUUUGGGGCAAUAACAGGUCUGUGAUGCCCUUAGAUGUUCUGGGCCGCACACGGGCUACACUGGCGCCUGCAACGAGCAUAUCAGCUGGCCCGAGAGGGUCUUGGCUAAUCUUUUGAACCGGCGCCGUGCUUGGGAUUGACCUUUGCAAUUGUUGGUCAUGCAACGAGGAAUGCCUUGUAAACGCGAGUCAUCAGCUCGCAUUGAAUACGUCCCUGCCCUUUGUACACACCGCCCGUCGCUCCUACCGAUGAAUGUUCCGAUGAAAUUUUCGGAGAGCACCUGUGAACUUGGCUCCGCCUUGCGAACGGGAGGCUCAAAGUCACUUAAAUCUGAACAUUUCGAGG